This 269-nucleotide ribosomal RNA is filed under the name uncultured bacterium. RNAcentral describes it as "partial 16S ribosomal RNA". It matches the Rfam family "Bacterial small subunit ribosomal RNA", at positions 86 to 353 of the family's 1533-position model. The record is from RNAcentral.
AUUGACUUAGCGGCGGACGGGUGAGUAACGCGUGGGUAACCUGCCUUACACUGGGGGAUAACAGUUAGAAAUGACUGCUAAUACCGCAUAAGCGCACAGGGCCGCAUGGUCCGGUGUGAAAAACUCCGGUGGUGUAAGAUGGACCCGCGUCUGAUUAGGUAGUUGGUGGGGUAACGGCCCACCAAGCCGACGAUCAGUAGCCGACCUGAGAGGGUGACCGGCCACAUUGGGACUGAGACACGGCCCAAACUCCUACGGGAGGCAGCAUG